Molecule: ribosomal RNA, 1186 nt
Filed under: Prorocentrum minimum
Lineage: Eukaryota; Dinophyceae; Prorocentrales; Prorocentraceae
Description: partial Bacterial small subunit ribosomal RNA
Rfam family: Bacterial small subunit ribosomal RNA
Source: RNAcentral
GUUUGAUCAUGGCUCAGAUUGAACGCUGGCGGCAGGCCUAACACAUGCAAGUCGAGCGGUAGAGAGAAGCUUGCUUCUCUUGAGAGCGGCGGACGGGUGAGUAAUGCCUAGGAAUCUGCCUGGUAGUGGGGGAUAACGUUCGGAAACGGACGCUAAUACCGCAUACGUCCUACGGGAGAAAGCAGGGGACCUUCGGGCCUUGCGCUAUCAGAUGAGCCUAGGUCGGAUUAGCUAGUUGGUGAGGUAAUGGCUCACCAAGGCGACGAUCCGUAACUGGUCUGAGAGGAUGACCAGCCACACUGGAACUGAGACACGGUCCAGACUCCUACGGGAGGCAGCAGUGGGGAAUAUUGGACAAUGGGCGAAAGCCUGAUCCAGCCAUGCCGCGUGUGUGAAGAAGGUCUUCGGAUUGUAAAGCACUUUAAGUUGGGAGGAAGGGCAUUAACCUAAUACGUUAGUGUUUUGACGUUACCGACAGAAUAAGCACCGGCUAACUCUGUGCCAGCAGCCGCGGUAAUACAGAGGGUGCAAGCGUUAAUCGGAAUUACUGGGCGUAAAGCGAGCGCAGACGGUUGAUUAAGUCUGAUGUGAAAGCCCGGAGCUCAACUCCGGAAUGGCAUUGGAAACUGGUUAACUUGAGUGUUGUAGAGGUAAGUGGAACUCCAUGUGUAGCGGUGGAAUGCGUAGAUAUAUGGAAGAACACCAGUGGCGAAGGCGGCUUACUGGACAACAACUGACGUUGAGGCUCGAAAGUGUGGGUAGCAAACAGGAUUAGAUACCCUGGUAGUCCACACCGUAAACGAUGAAUACUAGGUGUUAGGAGGUUUCCGCCUCUUAGUGCCGAAGCUAACGCAUUAAGUGUUCCGCCUGGGGAGUACGACCGCAAGGUUGAAACUCAAAGGAAUUGACGGGGGCCCGCACAAGCGGUGGAGCAUGUGGUUUAAUUCGAAGCAACGCGAAGAACCUUACCAGGCCUUGACAUCCAAUGAACUUUCUAGAGAUAGAUUGGUGCCUUCGGGAACAUUGAGACAGGUGCUGCAUGGCUGUCGUCAGCUCGUGUCGUGAGAUGUUGGGUUAAGUCCCGCAACGAGCGCAACCCUUAUCCUUUGUUGCCAGCGAUUCGGUCGGGAACUCAAAGGAGACUGCCGGUGAUAAACCGGAGGAAGGUGGGGAUGACGUCAAGUCA